UGAUCAGACGUCCCUCCUCGUCGUACGAUAUCCUGUCGUACAACAGACACGGUACGCGAGUAUUCGCCGAUAAAAUGGAGAAGCUCGAAUCUGGAAGCGACGUCGAGUUCUUGUGGCUUCGGCCCGGUUCCUGUGCAAGUUGACACGGCCGACCUCAACGAGAACCCAUAAUCAGUCUUUUGGGGGUUUCAAUAUUCUGAAAUUGGGCGGAUAAGUUCAUGAUUUAGAUCACUGAAGAGUUCGAUUCUGCUUUUGCCUUCUGGUUUAUUUCCCAGUGGCUUUGUUAUUGCUUUCUUUUCCAGCUGAAAUAUUUUAGGUCAAUGAGGAAUUCAGCUCGGCCUCUUCAACAAAUCCGAUAUCUUUUCUGUUUUUACCGAACAGACAUUUCAUUAAACAAAGCAGGGAAAAUUGAUCAAGUUUCUAUUUUUGUUAACCCUAUUGCUUGUCAUCCAAAUGGGGCCAUUUAUGGUAGAGAAAUCAAUAAAGACCUGACUUACAGUAUGCUGUUUUCCAGGGCUUUAUGCUCUACCUCAGAAAAGUUCUCUAUCAGAGAUUCUUCUAAUGUUGGAGGAGUUGGUCCUUUGUUGGAGUAUGAAAAGAGAAUUGCCGUGGGAGAGCUUGUUGGUGGAGACAGCUUCCAGAUAGAAUCACUUCGAGCACUACAAAGGCUUUAUGAAGAGCUCGUGGAGCAUGAAGAUGAUUGCCAAUUGGAUAGGUAUCUGUCAUCAAAAAAAUCUGGGAGGAGUAGGUGGUUGUGGUCUCGUCUUAUGCCUCGGUCUAAUUAUUCACCAAUCAAAGGACUGUACCUUUAUGGAGGAGUAGGCACUGGAAAGACAAUGCUUAUGGAUUUGUUCUACAAUCAGCUGCCAUCAUAUUGGAGGAAGAAAAGGAUGCACUUUCAUGAUUUUAUGUUGAAUGUGCAUAGAAGGCUGCAGGUGAAGUUGGGUUGAAAUUUAUCAUUGAUAUAUUUUUAUUAGGUUAAUGAUCAUUCUAAAUUUUUGUUUUCUUGAACUAGUCCCAUGGUAUUGCUGUAUGCUCAUUUUGACUUCAUAUAUGUACAAAUUCUGUCUUAAAAAAUAUAACCGUAGGUGCAUAAAGGUGUAGCAGAUCCACUUGAAAUUGUUGCUGCUGAGAUAUCAGAUGAGUCCAUUCUGUUAUGUCUUGAUGAAUUCAUGGUAACUGAUGUAGCAGAUGCAUUGAUACUAAACCGUCUUUUCCAACAUCUUUUCAGCAAUGGCAUGGUUCUUGUCUCUACUUCAAAUCGUGCUCCUGACCAGCUUUAUGAAGGUGGUUUGCAAAGGGACCUAUUUUUACCUUUUAUUGAUAUCUUGAAGAUGUGUAAUUCAUGAAAUUAGCUCAUCAACCGACUACCGGAAGCUGCGUUCUGCGGAGAAGGGCUACUAUUUCAUUGAGAAGAAACCCACUGGACUUCUUACAGAGAUGUUUAAUCAGUUAAUAGGGCCUGAGAAACCUUGUCCUCAAGUUGUUGAAGUUGUAAUGGGUCGGAAAUUGCAGGUCCCACUUGGAGCUAAUGGAUAUGCGUAUUUCACUUUUGAGGAUCUCUGUGAAAGACCUUUGGGGGCAGCAGAUUACCUUGGAUUGUUUAAGAAAUUUCAUACACUUGCACUUGAAGGAGUUCCCAAGUUUGGGAUCCACAACAGAACUGCUGCAUAUCGGUUCGUCACAUUGGUUGAUGUAAUGUAUGAGAAUAAAGCUGUAUUAUUAUGCACUGCAGAGACAUCACCUGUGGAGUUAUUUGAAAAAAUUGUGACAGUCACUGAUGCCCAGAAAAUUUCUCCUCGAUCUUCUUCACGGUCACAGAGAUAUGAUGAUAUCGAUCUUUGUGUUGAUAAUGAGCUAGGAUUUGCCAAAGAGCGAACCAUUAGCAGAUUGACGGAGAUGAAUAGCAAGGAGUAUUUGGAACAUCAUGAAGUUCAUCGGCUGGCUCGACAUUAGUGCGAUUCUUUUUCCCACCAUCUUUAAAGGUGUGUUUGGCAUAAAAUCUGCCCAAAGGAGUCGAUUCAUGAGUUCAUUCCCUUCUUAUUAUCCCAGGACUCAAAAGUAGGCAUUCCAUCUGGCUUGUUCCAUAAAUUUCCUUGUGUUAUAUGAUUAUAAAAGAAAAACACUAAAUUGAUAUUUUAUUACCAUGAUCUCUUACAAUGUAUGUAUUUAUAUAAAAUAAAUAAAUUACAAGAGUUAAUUUGGCCUAUCA
Molecule: RNA transcript, 2212 nt
Organism: Zingiber officinale
Lineage: Eukaryota; Viridiplantae; Streptophyta; Magnoliopsida; Zingiberales; Zingiberaceae
Gene name: AFG1-like ATPase
Exons: 15
Source: RefSeq, a predicted model, not a curated record